This 164-nucleotide small nuclear RNA is filed under the name Salvator merianae (Argentine black and white tegu). RNAcentral describes it as "U1 spliceosomal RNA (ENSSMRG00000012655.1)". It matches the Rfam family "U1 spliceosomal RNA". From Rfam's summary of the family: U1 is a small nuclear RNA (snRNA) component of the spliceosome (involved in pre-mRNA splicing). Its 5' end forms complementary base pairs with the 5' splice junction, thus defining the 5' donor site of an intron. Lineage: Eukaryota; Metazoa; Chordata; Lepidosauria; Squamata; Teiidae. The record is from Rfam by way of RNAcentral.
AUACUUACCUGGCAGGGGAGACACCAUGAUCAUGAAGGUGGUUUGCCCAGGGUGAGGCUCGUCCAUUGCACUCUGGGUGUGCUGACCCCUGCAAUUUCCUCAAAUGCAGGAAACUCAACUGCAUAAUUUGUAGUAGUGGGGGACUGCAUUCGCACUUUCCCCCC